CCUACGGGUGGCAGCAGUGAGGAAUAUUGGUCAAUGGGAGAGAUCCUGAACCAGCCAAGCCGCGUGAGGGAAGACGGCCCUAUGGGUUGUAAACCUCUUUUGUCGGAGAACAAAACCCGGGACGUGUCCCGGACUGCGUGUAUCCGAAGAAAAAGCAUCGGCUAACUCCGUGCCAGCAGCCGCGGUAAUACGGAGGAUGUGAGCGGUAUCCGGAUUUAUUGGGGUUAAAGGGUGCGUAGGCGGUCCGUUAAGUCAGCGGGAAAAUUGCGGGGCGCAACCCCGGCGAGCCGUUGAAACUGGCAGACUUGAGUUGGCGAGAAGUACGCGGAAUGCGCGGUGUAGCGGUGAAAUGCAUAGAUAUCGCGCAGAACUCCGAUUGCGAAGGCAGCGUACCGGCGCCAGACUGACGCUGAGGCACGAAAGCGUGGGGAUCGAACAGGAUUAGAUACCCGGGUAGUC
Molecule: ribosomal RNA, 459 nt
Filed under: uncultured bacterium
Lineage: Bacteria
Description: partial 16S ribosomal RNA
Rfam family: Bacterial small subunit ribosomal RNA
Source: RNAcentral